This 301-nucleotide ribosomal RNA is filed under the name uncultured bacterium. Its description in RNAcentral is "partial 16S ribosomal RNA". It matches the Rfam family "Bacterial small subunit ribosomal RNA", at positions 509 to 809 of the family's 1533-position model. The record is from RNAcentral.
CAGUAGCCGCGGGAACACGGAGGGGGCUAGCGUUGUUCGGAAUUACUGGGCGUAAAGCGCACGUAGGCGGCUUGGUAAGUUAGAGGUGAAAGCCUGGAGCUCAACUCCAGAAUUGCCUUUAAGACUGCCGAGCUAGCAGGUGAGAGAGGUAAGUGGAAUUCCGAGUGUAGAGGUGAAAUUCGUAGAUAUUCGGAAGAACACCAGUGGCGAAGGCGGCUUACUGGCUCAUACUGGACGCUGAGGUGCGAAAGCGUGGGGAGCAAACAGGAUUAGAUACCCCCGUAGUCCCUGUCUCUUAUAA